This 453-nucleotide ribosomal RNA is filed under the name uncultured bacterium. RNAcentral describes it as "bacterial SSU rRNA". It matches the Rfam family "Bacterial small subunit ribosomal RNA", at positions 340 to 786 of the family's 1533-position model. The record is from RNAcentral.
UACGGAAGGCAGCAGUGGGGAAUAUUGCACAAUGGGCGCAAGCCUGAUGCAGCCAUGCCGCGUGUAUGAAAAAGGCCUUCGGGUUGUAAAGUACUUUCAGUCGUGAGGAAGGUGUUAAGGUUAAUAACCUUAGCAAUUGACGUUAGCGACAGAAGAAGCACCGGCUAACUCCGUGCCAGCAGCCGCGGUAAUACGGAGGGUGCGAGCGUUAAUCGGAAUUACUGGGCGUAAAGGGCACGCAGGCGGUUAAUUAAGUUGGAUGUGAAAUCCCCGGGCUUAACCUGGGAAUGGCAUUCAGGACUGGUUAGCUAGAGUCUUGUAGAGGGGGUAGAAUUCCAUGUGUAGCGGUGAAAUGCGUAGAGAUGUGGAGGAAUACCGGUGGCGAAGGCGGCCCCUGGACAAAGACUGACGCUCAUGUGCGAAAGCGUGGGGAGCAAACAGGGAUUAGAUACC